Long non-coding RNA from Herpailurus yagouaroundi (jaguarundi), 360 nucleotides. RefSeq lists it as uncharacterized. Lineage: Eukaryota; Metazoa; Chordata; Mammalia; Carnivora; Felidae. The transcript has 3 exons. The record is from RefSeq and is a predicted model, not a curated record.
GCCAGCCACCCUUUCAUCUCCGCUCCAGGGACGCGCAGGGCUGGGAACAGCCGUGGGAGGCGAGGCUUGGAGACUGGGUUCGUGCAAGAGUCCGGGGACUUGGGGGCCUCAGGCCUGGUGGUUGAUGCUGGCUGUCGGCUGGAACACUCACAUAGGGCCUCUCCCUGUGGCCUGGGCUUCCUCACAACAUGGUGGCUGGGUUCCAAGGGCAACCAUAUCCAACAGACGUGAAUGGCUUGUCAUGGAAUGGACUUCAGAGCCACACUCUCUGGCUAUGAAUCUCAGCUCUACCAUUUACUGAUUGGGUAACUUCUGAGAGAGACAGAGCAUGAACGGGGGAGGGGCAGAGAGAGAAGGAGA